This 105-nucleotide transfer RNA is filed under the name Candidatus Woesearchaeota archaeon. RNAcentral describes it as "tRNA-Arg". It matches the Rfam family "tRNA". Rfam says of the family: Transfer RNA (tRNA) molecules are approximately 80 nucleotides in length. Lineage: Archaea; Nanobdellati; Candidatus Woesearchaeota. The record is from RNAcentral.
GCGCCUGUAGCUCAGCUUGGAUAGAGCGAAUGCCUCCUAAGCAUAGGAUAUGUAUAUACUUACUAUCCGCUUUUUAGGUCCGGAGUUCAAAUCUUCGCAGGCGCG